GGAGAGGUAUCGAAGCGGCCAUAACGAGGCGGUCCUGAAAACCGUUUGAGCGAAAGCUCACAUGGGUUCGAAUCCCAUCCUCUCCG
This 86-nucleotide transfer RNA is filed under the name Clostridia bacterium. RNAcentral's name for it is "tRNA-Ser". It matches the Rfam family "tRNA". From Rfam's summary of the family: Transfer RNA (tRNA) molecules are approximately 80 nucleotides in length. Their secondary structure includes four short double-helical elements and three loops (D, anti-codon, and T loops). The record is from RNAcentral. RNAcentral also lists the same sequence under 1 other name. Lineage: Bacteria; Bacillati; Bacillota; Clostridia.